RNAcentral lists this non-coding RNA (67 nucleotides) under unclassified sequences. RNAcentral describes it as "S15-Flavobacteria ribosomal protein leader". It matches the Rfam family "S15-Flavobacteria ribosomal protein leader". The record is from RNAcentral. RNAcentral also lists the same sequence under 1 other name.
UAUCUUUGCCGCUUGAUUACCAAAAUGGUAUUCAGUACAUAAAAAUCAUUUUAAUAAUAUUGGCAUG